CUUUUUCCUUUUAAGGACUUGAAACAACAAAAAGGCGAGUGAAAUCUGCAGGCUCCCGUCUGCCUGGUAACACGCCGACAAAAGCGGCAGAUUUGAGGCAUUGUCAUCCCCCGCACCCCUCCCCACGUGGCCUUCUGGCACGAGCCGCGGCGGCCGCCUCAUUUGCAUCAGAAAGCGGGCGCCGGCCAAUGGGCGCGCAGCCUCGGGCCAGCUGGCGGCGCCCGGGCCCGGCCUAUAUAGGGGCGCGCGGCGCGCCGGGGCCACUCGCCAUCCGUGCGCUCCCCGCUCCCCGCUCCCCGCUCCCCGCUCCCCUGCCCGGCCUCCGCCGCUCCGCCGCCCGCGUGCGCGCCGCUCGCUGCCUGCGUGGAUAACCCGCUGCUCCCGACCGCACCAUGACUCUGGAGGAGAUCCGAGGCCAAGACGCGGUCCCCGAGAGCACCGCCAGAACCCCAAUGAGGACGCGUGGAAGGACCCCGCCUUGGAGAAGCUCAGCGUGUUCUGCGAGGAGAGCCGCAGCGUCAACGACUGGGUGCCCAGCAUCACCCUCCCCGAGUGACCGCGCGGAGGGGGCCUUGGUCUGAUCGACGACGUGGUGGCACCGGGGCGCCUAGCGCGCGGCCGGCUCUGUGGAUGCGCCCUCGGAGCGCGCGGGCCCGGAGAGCUGCGCGGAGAGCGGCGAGGAGCGCGGCCCCUGCAGGAGGGCCCNCGCGAGUGUGGACUCCGCGAGUGUGGGCGGCGGCGGCCUGCCCGGGAAGGCCGGAGGCGGGCCGUGGGCCCCGGGCCGGGAAGGCCGGACCGGCCGGGCGGGCGUGACUCAGCAGCCUGCGCUCUGCGCAGGAAGGAGGGGAGAGGCCAGGCAGGCGAGGCCUGGGCUCCGGACUCUGGACUCGGACGGCUACAGGAGCUCCGACCACGGAGCGGAGCGGCCUGCGCCGCUGUUGCCAAGCGGACGGGGCGAUGCUCCGGUUUCUAGAGGAUUCUGCGGCUGCAGCUUUGGAGUUUUGCUUUUUGAACAAUAAACUAACUGAAACAGGCUUCUUCUCUUUCUUG
Molecule: long non-coding RNA, 1050 nt
Filed under: Vulpes vulpes (red fox)
Lineage: Eukaryota; Metazoa; Chordata; Mammalia; Carnivora; Canidae
Description: lncRNA (ENSVVUG00000022310.1)
Source: RNAcentral